Molecule: ribosomal RNA, 473 nt
Filed under: uncultured bacterium
Lineage: Bacteria
Description: bacterial SSU rRNA
Rfam family: Bacterial small subunit ribosomal RNA
Source: RNAcentral
GACGAACGCUGGCGGCGUGCUUAACACAUGCAAGUCGAACGGAGAUAUAUAAAAUAGUUUACUAUGAAUAUAUUUUAGUGGCGGACGGGUGAGUAACACGUGGGCAACCUGCCUUAGAGUGGGGGAUAACAACGAGAAAUCGUUGCUAAUACCGCAUGAAAUUAGAUUAUCGCAUGAUAGUUUAAUGAAAGGAGAAAUCCGCUAAAAGAUGGGCCCGCGCCUGAUUAGCUAGUUGGUGAGGUAAAAGCUCACCAAGGCGACGAUCAGUAGCCGAUCUGAGAGGAUGACCGGCCACACUGGAACUGAGACACGGUCCAGACUCCUACGGGAGGCAGCAGUGGGGAAUAUUGCACAAUGGGGGAAACCCUGAUGCAGCAACGCCGCGUGGAGGAAGAAGGUUUUCGGAUUGUAAACUCCUGUCUUUUGGGACGAUAAUGACGGUACCAAAAGAGGAAGCCACGGCUAACUACGUG